GAGAGGAAUAUUGGUCAAUGGGCGAGAGCCUGAACCAGCCAAGUCGCGUGAAGGAAGAAGGAUCUAUGGUUCGUAAACUUCUUUUGCAGGGGAAUAAAGUGCAGGACGUGUCCUGUUUUGUAUGUACCCUGAGAAUAAGGAUCGGCUAACUCCGUGCCAGCAGCCGCGGUAAUACGGAGGAUCCGAGCGUUAUCCGGAUUUAUUGGGUUUAAAGGGUGCGUAGGUGGUUUGAUAAGUCAGCGGUGAAAGUUUGCAGCUUAACUGUAAAAAUGCCGUUGAAACUGUCGGACUUGAGUGUAAAUGAGGUAGGCGGAAUGCGUGGUGUAGCGGUGAAAUGCAUAGAUAUCACGCAGAACUCCGAUUGCGAAGGCAGCUUACUAAGCUACAACUGACACUGAAGCACGAAAGCGUGGGGAUCAAACAGGAUUAGAAACCCCGGUAGUCC
This 445-nucleotide ribosomal RNA is filed under the name uncultured bacterium. RNAcentral describes it as "partial 16S ribosomal RNA". It matches the Rfam family "Bacterial small subunit ribosomal RNA", at positions 354 to 796 of the family's 1533-position model. The record is from RNAcentral.